Sphaeramia orbicularis (orbiculate cardinalfish) is the source of this 123-nucleotide long non-coding RNA. RefSeq lists it as uncharacterized. The transcript has 3 exons. The record is from RefSeq and is a predicted model, not a curated record. Lineage: Eukaryota; Metazoa; Chordata; Actinopteri; Kurtiformes; Apogonidae.
CAGCACAUUAGCAUCAGUUGAAGGACUUUGAAGACAGUUCACACACGUUUGGGUUUGUUUCAUCAUAAGAACUGAACAGGAUUUGGAGUAAAUUUCCUCUUUUGGAUGGACCUCCUGUGGACC